UUAAUUUUGGUUCAGAUUGAACGUUGUUCAGUAGUAUAAGACAUGCGAAUCGUUGUUUCCGAAAAUUAUUGUCAAAAGUAAUAUCUAGGGAACAAGGUGUAGAGGUGAGGAAAGUAAAUAAGAUACCCUUUAGUCUCCAUAAAUAGGAGAUAUUUUUAAUCAAUCGGUUAAAAAAAUAACAAAGCUAUUUUUAUUCAGAAAGGAAAUUUUCUGCUAAAGGAUUCUAUUUAUUUCGAUUAGGUAGUUGGUAGGGUAAAGGCCUACCAAGCCGACGAUCGAUAGCUAUGCUUGAAAGAGCCGAUAGCCACAUUGGGAGUGAGAUGCCCCAAGUAGUACUAACCCCGAAUUAAAUUAUUAAUUCAAUCACUACCAGCAGUCAAGAAUAUUAGUCAAUGCUCGCAAGAGUGAACUAGCUAACUGAAAUCACAAGUACACGGUAUGUGUCACUUGAGAUAACGUAAGGGAUAAUAAUGAUAUUACCUUACUAUUAGUGUCGUCCAAAACUGGUGCCAGAAGACUCGGUAAGGCCAGAGACGCAAACGUUAGUCUUAUUAACCAGGCGUAAAGGGUAUGUAGGCAGCUUUCAAAAUUUUAUUUUAAUAUAGCCAUAGUAAAAUAAGACCAAUAAAAGCUAGAAUCAAAUUGAGGUUAAGCCAAAUAAUACUUAGAGUAGGGGCGACAUCCGUAGAAACUAAGUAGAAUACUAAGAGCGUAAGCUUUUUAACCAUUACUGAUUGACGCUGAGAAACGAAAGUGAGGAUAGGAAGUAGGAUUAGAUACCCAGGUACCCCUCUCUGUAAACGAUGAAUGGUAAUUAUUCAUUAAAAAAAUGAGUGAUGAUGUUAACACGUUAACCAUUCCGCCUUGUGAGUACGAUUGCAAAGUUGAAAACAAAAAAAUUAGUCGGUCCUGAAGAAAACGAAGUGAAGCAUGUUAUUUAAUACGAUAACCCGCGUAAAAUCUUACCAGUUCUUGUAUACAAACUUCUAUACUUUAUUGGAUAGAAGGAGUGUUUUUCUGGUUAAUUAUAGAAAAAUACUUAGUUACAGGUGUUGCAUGGCUGUCGUCAGUCCGUAAUGUGAGUAGUUAGGUUAGAUCCACAAACGGACGAAAUCCCUGUUAUUAAUUUAUACUUAAUGACUAAUGGUAUCUGAUAAAGGUUCCAAUUGGGGCUAAGACAAGUCGUUAUGGCCCUCAUGAACUGGGCUAUAGACGUGCCACAAUAACUUUUACAAAGUGAUGCAAAACCCUCCCAAGUUUACUCUUUUGUUUUAUUAGAGUAAAAUUUUUUACUUUACUUUAGUUUAGUAAGAAUAGGGAAAUAAGGAAGAGCUAAUCAUUAAAGAAAGUUAAAUUAUAAUUCAAUCAGCCGGAUUGUCACCUGAAAUUCGGUGGCAUGAAGAAGGAAUUUCGAGUAAUCGUUGAUCACUAGCGCAACGGUGAAGCAAGUCUUCGGGAUGAACUAACUGUCUGUCGCUGGGAAGAAGCUCGGAUAGGAGGAAACUGGAUGAAAAUACAAAUUUUUUCAUAGUUCAGUUUAUAGCUAUUUAUAGUCAAUUAAUUCAAAAACAACUAUGUUAAAUCUAUUGAGUUUAGUUAAUUCAUUUGGGUAACAUCUCAAAAGUCAUAGCA
RNAcentral lists this ribosomal RNA (1632 nucleotides) under Cerrena unicolor. RNAcentral's name for it is "partial small subunit ribosomal RNA". It matches the Rfam family "Bacterial small subunit ribosomal RNA". Lineage: Eukaryota; Fungi; Basidiomycota; Agaricomycetes; Polyporales; Cerrenaceae. The record is from RNAcentral.